RNAcentral lists this ribosomal RNA (500 nucleotides) under uncultured bacterium. RNAcentral's name for it is "partial 16S ribosomal RNA". It matches the Rfam family "Bacterial small subunit ribosomal RNA", at positions 29 to 523 of the family's 1533-position model. The record is from RNAcentral.
AUUGAGCGCUGGCGGAAUGCUUUACACAUGCAAGUCGAACGGCAGCACGGGGGCAACCCUGGUGGCGAGUGGCGAACGGGUGAGUAAUACAUCGGAACGUGCCCAGUCGUGGGGGAUAACGUAGCGAAAGUUACGCUAAUACCGCAUACGAUCUACGGAUGAAAGCGGGGGACCGUAAGGCCUCGCGCGCUUGGAGCGGCCGAUGUCAGAUUAGGUAGUUGGUGAGGGAAAGGCUCACCAAGCCGACGAUCUGUAGCUGGUCUGAGAGGACGACCAGCCACACUGGGACUGAGACACGGCCCAGACUCCUACGGGAGGCAGCAGUGGGGAAUUUUGGACAAUGGGCGCAAGCCUGAUCCAGCCAUUCCGCGUGCAGGACGAAGGCCUUCGGGUUGUAAACUGCUUUUGUACGGAACGAAAAGGCUCUGGUUAAUACCUGGGGCUCAUGACGGUACCGUAAGAAUAAGCACCGGCUAACUACGUGCCAGCAGCCGCCGCAG